GCACCCGCGGUAAUUCCAGCACCAAUAGCGUAUAUUAAUGCUGCUGCUGUUAAAAAGCUCGUAGUUGGAUCAAGAGUUGGACAGUGCACGGUGGCCCUGUUUGUUUGUCUGGCUCCGGUCAGGCAGACGGCAGCGGAACAACCCCGUGCGCCAAACUGUCCACUCUAACAGACCGAAACGGUUCUCUGUGAGUAGGCUCCUUAAUUGGGGCUGAAAGCGCCUACGCAUCAACCAUAUGCAUACGAGACGUCGGUCAAUGUUACUGUGAACAAACCAGCGUGUCCAAAGCAGGCUUUCGCCCGAAUGUUCGAGCAUGGAAUAACAAGGGAUCGAUUCUCUCGGUUCUUUUUGUUGGUUUUUAACCCGAGAAGGAGUAAUUCAGGCCACGGUGUCUGAGCUGGGUUUCCCUGGUCUUCGGAUCAGGCCCCAGUUAGGCCGUGUCCUUACGGGAUCAAUAGGGACUGACGGGGUCGUACCUACUUUCGCGUCAGAGGUGAAAUUAUUAGAUCGCGGGAAGAGGAACUUCUGCGAAAGCAUGCGACAAGAAUGUCUUCAUUAAUCAAGAACGAGAGUGUGGGGAUCGAAGAUGAUCAGAUACCGUCGUAGUCCACUACUGUAAACAAUGCCGUCUCAGGAUUGAGAAGUGAACAGAAUGACUUUCACAGCACUAACCCCUGAAACGAGAAAUCAAAGAUUAUGGGUCCAGGGGGGAGUACAUUCGCAAGGCUGAAACUUAAAGGAAUUGACGGAAUGACACCACAAGGCGUGGAGUAUGCGGCUUAAUUUGACUCAACACGAGGAAUUUUACUAGGUCAGGACAAUGUAAGGAUUGACAGAUUGAGAGCUCUUUCUCGAUCCAUUGUGUGGUGGUGCAUGGCCGCUCCUGGUUGGUGGAGUGAUUUGUCUGGUUGAUCCCGUUAACGAACGAGAUCUCGACCCUUAAAUAGGUGCGCAUGUCGAUUGUAGCUUCACCUCCGCCAGCUUGCUGGAUUGGAGUGGGGCGAGACUGUGCGAAUACUUCUUAAGGGGACUGUGUGCGUCUCUAGCACGCGGAAGAGCGAGCCAAUAGCAGGUCUGUGAUGCUCCUAAAUGUCCUAGGCUGCACGCGCACUACACUGAUGCAAUAAACGAGUCUGAGUACCUUCUGGUAACCUACCUGGAAGCGGAUGGGAAAUCUUUUGAACAUGCAUCGUGAUGAG
This 1199-nucleotide ribosomal RNA is filed under the name uncultured marine diplonemid. RNAcentral describes it as "bacterial SSU rRNA". It matches the Rfam family "Eukaryotic small subunit ribosomal RNA", at positions 570 to 1574 of the family's 1831-position model. Lineage: Eukaryota; Euglenozoa; Diplonemea. The record is from RNAcentral.